Molecule: ribosomal RNA, 454 nt
Filed under: uncultured bacterium
Lineage: Bacteria
Description: partial 16S ribosomal RNA
Rfam family: Bacterial small subunit ribosomal RNA
Source: RNAcentral
GAUGAACGCUGACAGAAUGCUUAACACAUGCAAGUCAACUUGAACUUCGGUUUGGGUGGCGGACGGGGGAGUAACGCGUAAAGAACUUGCCUCACAGAUAGGGACAACAUUUGGAAACGAAUGCUAAUACCUGAUAUUAUGAUUAUAUGGCAUCGUAUAAUUAUGAAAGCUAUAUGCGCUGUGAGAGAGCUUUGCGUCCCAUUAGCUAGUUGGAGAGGUAACGGCUCACCAAGGCGAUGAUGGGUAGCCGGCCUGAGAGGGUGAUCGGCCACAAGGGGACUGAGACACGGCCCUUACUCCUACGGGAGGCAGCAGUGGAGAAUAUUGGACAAUGGACCAAGAGUCUGAUCCAGCAAUUCUGUGUGCACGAUGAAGUUUUUCGGAAUGUAAAGGGCUUUCAGUUGGGAAGAAAAAAAUGACGGUACCAACAGAAGAAGUGACGGCUAAAUACGUG